ACCUCGGCGAUAGCUCAGUGGGUAAAGCGCCAGGUGAGAAGAUUGCGAAUCCGCGCGGGUUCGAAUCCCGCCUGUGGCA
This is a non-coding RNA of Aromia moschata, 79 nucleotides long. Lineage: Eukaryota; Metazoa; Arthropoda; Insecta; Coleoptera; Cerambycidae. The record is from the annotation of a GenBank genome assembly.